Cyanistes caeruleus (blue tit) is the source of this 2587-nucleotide long non-coding RNA. The record is from Ensembl. Lineage: Eukaryota; Metazoa; Chordata; Aves; Passeriformes; Paridae.
AGCUGCCAGGGGGGGACCCCCGGCCCCAGCCCCAGCCCGGCCGAGCCCAAAGCGCAGCCGGGAGCCCGCGGCCACCCGCAGCCAGGUGGGGACACAGAAACACGGCCUGCAGCCCAAAAUAACCCAAAAAAUCCUGCUUUUAUCCCAAAAAAUAUCCCUGCUUUUAUCCCAAAAUAACACAGGGUUUUAUCCCCAAAAAAUUCCCUGCUUUUAUCCCAAAAAAUUCCCUGCUUUUAUCCCAAAAAAUUCCUGCUUUUAUCCCAAAAAAUAUCCCUGCUUUCAUCCCAAAAAUAUCCCUGCUUUUAUCCCAAAAAAUCCUGCUUUUAUCCCAAAAUAUCCCUCUUUUAUCCCAAAAAAUCCCUGCUUUUAUCCCAAAAAAUCCCUGCUUUUAUCCCAAAAAAUCCCUGCUUUUAUCCCAAAAAUCCCGCUUUUAUCCCCAAAAAUCCCUGCUUUUAUCCCAAAAUAUCCCUCUUUCAUCCCAGAAAAACACAGGGUUUUAUCCCAAAAAAUCCCUCUUUCAUCCCAAAAAAUUCCUGCUUUUAUCCCAAAAAAAUCCCUGCUUUUAUCCCAAAAAAUUCCUGCUUUUAUCCCAAAAAAUCCCCUGCUUUUAUCCCAAAAAAUUCCCUGCUUUCAUCCCAAAAUAACACAGCUUGCAGCCCAAAAUAUCCCAAAAAAACCCGCUUUUAUCCCAAAAAAACCCGCUUUUAUCCCAAAAAAUCCCGCUUUUAUCCCAAAAAAUCCCUGCUUUCAUCCCAAAAAAUCCCUGCUUUUAUCCCAAAAUAUCCCUCUUUCAUCCCCAAAAAUUCCCUGCUUUUAUCCCAAAAAAUUCCUGCUUUUAUCCCAAAAAAUUCCUGCUUUUAUCCCAAAAAAACACAGGGUUUUAUCCCCAAAAAAUCUCUGCUUUUAUCCCCAAAAAUUCCUGCUUUUAUCCCAAAAAAAACCUCUUUUAUCCCCAAAAAAUCCCUGCUUUUAUAAAAUUCCUGCUUUUAUCCCAAAAAAAACCUCUUUUAUCCCCAAAAAAUCCCUGCUUUUAUCCCAAAAAAUCCCUGCUUUUAUCCCAAAAAAUUCCCUGCUUUUAUCCCCAAAAAAACACAGGGUUUUAUCCCCAAAAAAUCCCUGCUUUUAUCCCAAAAAAUUCCCUGCUUUUAUCCCAAAAAAUCCCUGCUUUUAUCCCAAAAAAUCCCUGCUUUUAUCCCAAAAAAACACAGGGUUUUAUCCCCAAAAAAUCUCUGCUUUUAUCCCCAAAAAUUCCCUGCUUUUAUCCCCAAAAAUUCCCUGCUUUUAUCCCAAAAAAACACAGGGUUUUAUCCCCAAAAAAUCUCUGCUUUUAUCCCAAAAAAUUCCCUGCUUUUAUCCCAAAAAAUCCCUGCUUUUAUCCCAAAAUAUCCCUCUUUCAUCCCAAAAAAUUCCCCGUUUUUAUCCCAAAAAAACACAGCUUGCAGCCCAAAAAAUCCCUGCUUUUAUCCCAAAAAAUUCCUGCUUUUAUCCCAAAAAUAUCCCUGCUUUUAUCCCAAAAAAUCCCUGCUUUUAUCCCAAAAAAUUCCUGCUUUUAUCCCAAAAAAUCCCGCUUUUAUCCCAAAAAAUUCCCUGCUUUUAUCCCCAAAAAUAUCCCUGCUUUUAUCCCAAAAAAACACAGCUUGCAUCCCAAAAAUUCCUGGGAUUCCAUCCUGCUUUUAUCCCAAAAAAACACAGCUUGCAGCCCAAAAAACCACAGGCUUUUAUCCCAAAAAAUCCCAGGCUUUUAUCCCAAAAAAUCCCUCUUUCAUACCAAAAAAACACAGUUUGCAUCCCAAAAAAUCCUGGGAUUCCAUUCCCAGUUCCCAUUCCCAGUUCCCAGUUCCCAUUCCCAGUUCCCAUUCCCAGUUCCCAUUCCCAGUUCAUUUCCCAGUUCAUUCCCAGUUUCCAUUCCCAGUUCCCAGGCCGGACGUUCUCCCGCGCUCUCUCCGGGCUCUGGCUCUGCCCAUUCCCAGUUCAUUCCCAGUUCAUUCCCAGUUCAUUCCCAGUUCCCAGGCCGGACGUUCUCCCGCGCUCUCUCCGGGCUCUGGCUCUGCCCAUUCCCAGUUCAUUCCCAGUUCAUUCCCAGUUCAUUCCCAGUUUCCCAGUUCAUUCCCAGUUUCCAUUCCCAGUUCCCAGGCCGGACGUUCUCCCGCGCUCUCUCCGGGCUCUGGCUCUGCCCAUUCCCAGUUCAUUCCCAGUUUCCCAGUUCAUUCCCAGUUCAUUCCCAGUUCCCAGGCCGGACGUUCUCCCGCGCUCUCUCCGGGCUCUGGCUCUGCCCAUUCCCAGUUUCCCAUUCCCAUUCCCAGUUCAUUCCCAGUUCCCAUUCCCAGUUUCCCAGUUCAUUCCCAGUUUCCCAGUUCAUUCCCAAUUUAUUCCCAGUUCCCAGGCCGGACGUUCUCCCGCGCUCUCUCCGGGCUCUGGCUCUGCCCAUUCCCAGUUCAUUCCCAGUUCAUUCCCAGUUCAUUCCCAGUUCCCAGGCCGGACGUUCUCCCGCGCUCUCUCCGGGCUCUGGCUCUGCCCAUUCCCAGUUCAUUCCCAGUUUCCCAGUUCAUUCCCAGUUCAUUCCCAGUUCCCAGGCCGGACGUUCUCC